GGAGGAGGAGCUGGCGCGGCGGCCACGGGCGCCCAGCGCGCCUUCUCGGCGCCUGGAGCCAGACGCGAGUAAUCCUGGGUGGCCCGCAGCGGAGCCGUGGCCGGGCUAGAGGAGCCGGCUGGACUGCGGGAGUGCCGGGCGGCUCGCGGUGUCCGCCUCGGGCUGCUCCCCUGCGCUGCGUUCUCGCGGCCCCGCGCCGGCGCUGCGCUCUGCGAUGCGAGCCGCUGCGUGUCCAGCCGGGGCUCUGGCGAGGAAACUCACUUCAAAAGCAGCUGCACCAAGGGGGAGAUUAAAGCCUUUGCCGCCUUCCAAUCAAAUGGGAGCCCGAGGUGAUUGGAGGGUCAAGGGGAUGUGACGCGUCCCGCGCCGCCGCCGCCGCCGCUGCCAGGACUCUCAGUGCCGGUUUUAAUGGGCAGCUCCCUCUUCGCCGCCCCCCUGUGUGUCCCCUCCCUCGAUUUCGCUGGGAGGACGAGAUGGACAUUUAUUCUACGUUUGCCAUCCGCCGCCUCCCUCUUUUUUCCUCCUCGUCGUUCUUCCUUUCCCCAGCUCGAAAAUAAACUGAAACCUUCUUUUGAAGGGGGGUGCGCGUGAGGAACAGACUGCGGGGGGUGUCCAGAAGGAGCACCGGUGGGAGUGUGGACACCGGCCGGACUGUCAACUCCAGGGGCGAAGGGAACCUGCACACCCAGUGUUUUUUCCUUCGCAGUAAUCGAGAUCCCGCGCGGCGCAGCGCAGCCACCAGGAAUCGACGGGAUUUCUCUGGCUGUCGUUUGCGCUGCAUUUAUCCGAAUACAUCCAGCUCGCAGGCAUCCUGCAAGAAACGGCUCCCGGCUCGCGUGUACGCCGACACCUCGGCCCAACGCAGGACUCGAGGUGGUUUCUAGUGCCCGGGUGGCUGCAAGUCUGCCCUCCGAGGGAGGCUGGACAAGCGGCGCCCCCAGGUCGAGCGGCCUCUCGCUGCCUGGCAGUGCCUGGCAGCCCCCACCUCUGCCAGUGCUUCGGAAACCCGCCUGGCCAGGUUCGCCCGCGGUGAAAAAUGAAAGCAAAUUCCCCAACAGAGGUAGCCGGAACUUUCCUCGACGAAGGCUCCCUCCUGCGCCUGUGUCUGGAGAACCCCCAGAGCGCUGCAAGUUAGCAAGAGAGAUUCGAUGGCGGCUCUGGAAGGCGCACGAAGGGUGGGGCGGGGGAGCAAAGAGGCCACUGGGUGACCCAGCCUGGUCCGGGGUGAAACGCUAGAGAAGGCGCCUCGCCUUCCUUAUUUCAAUGCAACUCCUCGGCCCCAGACGGUAAAAAUAGUUUCCAAGCUGCCGCGGACGCCCAGGAUGUGUUUGCAGAGAUCAAACUGGGGAGGAGGCAGCUUUGUAAAAGUUGCAGAAAGAUUAGCCGAGAAGCGUCCGCCCGGCGGGGCUCAAGAAAGCUUGGGGACAGCU
Long non-coding RNA from Homo sapiens (human), 1430 nucleotides. Ensembl annotates it as ZNF503 antisense RNA 2. Its record names the gene ZNF503-AS2. The record is from Ensembl. NCBI's taxonomy places the organism in Eukaryota, Metazoa, Chordata, Mammalia, Primates, Hominidae.